Long non-coding RNA from Brassica rapa (field mustard), 4550 nucleotides. RefSeq lists it as uncharacterized. NCBI's taxonomy places the organism in Eukaryota, Viridiplantae, Streptophyta, Magnoliopsida, Brassicales, Brassicaceae. The record is from RefSeq and is a predicted model, not a curated record.
UUUCUUAAUAACAUAAGCCCAUUAUUUUUUUUCUUAAUACUACUGUCCUUAUUUCCAAACAAAAUUAAUUUUUUUUAAAAGAUUACAAUUCAUGUUUCCAAACACUCCAAAUUUUUUUAAUAGUCCUAUUCAAGUCUCCAAACACUCCAAUUUUGUAUUUGAGUUUUAAUAAGAUAGAUAUGGUGAAUCCUUAGUUCAUUUCCCGUUGACCACUAUGAGAUUUACAAAUAUCAGCAUUGUUGAAGCAUACAAAUUAGUGGGUUGAAUUCGGUCAUCGGAUACUGUAGUUAGUUAAAAAAAAAAAAUUAUCCUACUGAAUGGUCUCUAUUCUCCAAAUAAAAGUUAUUUUAAUAUGAUUGGGCUCUCAUCUUAUAGAGAUUUGGGGACCAUUGAAUAACACCUUUUAGUUAUAAAAUAUUUAAACCAAAUGUUGUUGGUUUAAGUUCCAUUUGUUUUUUUUUUGUUGACAUCAAACCGCUAAUCUAUUAUUCAAGCUUGACCGGAAUAGAACAACCAAUGUAAAACAGGUCCCUAUGAAAAGAUCUCACUAUCUUAGCUAAUGAAUCAGAAUAUAUAUUUUAAGAUCGAUGAAUAAAAACAAUCGAGAAUUCUGGUAAUGUUAUUUCAAAAUACAAUAUACAUAUUUUUGUUGUUGUUGAUUGGUGUUGUUAAAAGCAACUACAAUUGAAGUUGGAAAAAGUGAGAUGCAAGAUCAAACUACUCUUCUAGAUACAGUAUUUUCUUAGUGAUCCUUUCAGAAUUAGACAUUAGUGUGGUCAGACCCGGUCCAUAAUUUUUCAUGAGGUUUUGGUUUGGAUUGAACCGGUUGAACCGGAUUUUAGUAAUUCUAGUUGGUAGUUGCGCGUGCAUAAACGGUUUCUUCCUUAAUCCUAAACAGAGAUUUGCAACAAUAAGGUAUUUUGUUCUUUGACCCAAAAAAAAAAAGGUAUUUUGUUCUCUUCCCUUUCGCUCGUCGUCGUUAUGCGCCAGGGAUGAAGAUUCACGCUCCUCCCGUCGGAUUGCCGAACAAUUUUAAGCGUUUUCAUCAUUUCUUACGGGUUUAUUAUUAUAUGCUGACUUCAUGAAUCAUGAGGUACGCGCACCACGUGUUCGACGAAAUUCAUGAGACGAGCUUUCUUGGCUCACAGCUAUGUGAUAGAAUCCACUUGCUAAAGCGGAGUUUGGAGAACCUUACAGCUAAAGCGAGAUCCAGUGGUGCAAAUGGGUAAGUACUUGCCUUGUUCAGUUCAUUAUUGCUAGCAUAUUCUAAGAAUGGCUGUGUGAUUAGGCAUAUCCUUUAGAACAGAACCUGGGACCUCUUGCAUUCAUAUUGAUAGUCUACAUUGUAAUAAAUCUGAGCAUGAAUCAUACCCUUUAGACCACAUACAUUGUUGUUUAUAAGCUUAAACUUUUAUACAUAUCUUCUUUAGUGUUGGCCAGAAAUCUACUGCUUUUUGAGAAGGCUGAUUAGUUUUUAAACCUAUCUUGAGAAAUAUCUAGGCUCGAAGGGACGAAUUCAUAAUGUUAUAGUUUACAUUGGAUCAUAGGACUAAAAAUAUAGAUGAUUGUCUAAUAAAUUUCGCUACUGGAAUGUAGACCAUCUGCUCAAAACAAAAGUCAAUGGGGCAUUCCGAGAAUCGAACUCGGGACCUCUCGCACCCAAAGCGAGAAUCAUACCACUAGACCAAAUGCCCUGUUGUUGGUUUAGUUCCAUUAGGCAUUGGAUUAGAGAAUACACAUUCAUUCUGUUUUACAGUAAACUUUACUCUUGAAGAUUUCUCCUUUUGAGGGUUCUAUUCUUGAUGAACUCGCUAUAUACAGCUAAAGUUCAGGCUAUCCUAUAUUUUAUUUUUGAAUCUGAUAUUAGGAUGUUUUCUUGUUUAGUAACCUAAUCAAGAUAAUAUGGUUUUAGAUCUAAUUCUAUUAGUUGACUUUCAGGCCUUAAUAGUGAAAGCUGAUAGUCUGUAGUUUAAUAUUGGUUUUGUGAAAUGUUAGCUGGCAUUGAGAACAUUUGUCUUACAAAAAGUCAAUGGGGCAUUCCGAGAAUCGAACUCGGGACCUCUCGCACCCAAAGCGAGAAUCAUACCACUAGACCAAAUGCCCUUUGUUGAUUAACUGAUUCAAUGCAUAAACUGUUCUUAAAAUGCAGACAACGGUUUCAGGCUUUGUUCUUUUUCACUUCCUGCAGCUGUCUCUUGAAGAAAUCUGGCAGCAUUCAGCUACCGAUGAUCUCUGAUCAAUUUGCUAUCCAGAAAGUGGUUUCUUGCUGGACGUGAAUGUAAGGUGCGUUGUGAUUCUCAUUUUAUUACUUGCAUAGUUGCGUUUCUGCAUUUUAUGCCAAAAGUCGUAAAGGGAAAUUGUAUUCUAAAGUACCAUUUCUAAAUGUUGAAGAGAUACACAACAAUGCACGCACUAUAUUUUGUUGUACGACAGUUUAUCAGCUGGCAUUUAAAAUACUUCUAGACCAAAUGCUCUGUUUUCAUAAUGUUGUUCAGUGGCUUCUAUUAGCAUUCUUUCCAUAUAUCGCUUUUUUUUUGCUUCCCUGUUAAAUAGUACAACACAAUUUGAUUUCUCUUUCUGCAGCCUAUUAGUUUGUGGAUUUGAGAGCCUACAAAACGUUGAUGAUCUGCCCCUAUCUGAAAAAUAGUUAACAAAAUUAAUUUACUCUACCUGAAAAAGCGGUAUGAUUUUUUUUUCCUUUGCAUUGAACACUUGCAUUAUGAAAUUCUAAGGUAGUUUUUGCUGUGAAAGUAAAACGGUCUAAUUAUUAUAUGGUCCUCUGUCGCAACAGGAUCUGUGAAAAUGUUGUAGGACUAAAAUGCAUUCCUGAUUUUGCUAGAAUACUCCUAGUAGAAUUCAGGCCAUAUACUUAAAAAAGUCAAUGGGGGCAUUCCGAGAAUUGAACUCGGGAUCUCUCGCACCCUAAGACCAUCUCCAAUGGCUUACUCUAUUUUUUACUCUAAAAUAGAGUAACUCUAUAAUAGAGUUUGAAUUUGCUCCAAUGGUACUCUAUUUUAAAGUAAAAAAUAGAGUGAUGAACAAACAAAAAACAAGUUACUCUAUAUUUGGAGUAAAUCUAUUUUUCAUUCUAUUAUACAAAAAGAAAUAGAGUACCAUUGGAGCAUUCUUUACUCUAAACUCUAUUUUAGAGUAAAAAAUAGAGUGGGGUUGGAGAUGCUCUAAGCGAGAAUCAUACCACUAGACCAAAUGCCCUGUUGUUAAACAGUUUAGUUGAAACGUCAAAAUUUGGUCAUACUUUGAUCUGGUUCCCAUAGUUGACUUUUACUAAAUAAAUAUUUUAGUCUUUGUAGGAUGUUCUUAGAUCUAAUCUAGUGAGAUUCCAGUCUAGUGAGAUCUCUUUCAACUGAAGUUCCAGUAGGAUGAUCAUUUGCAUUUCCACCUCGCGAAAAAACACGCAGUGCAUUUGUUAAAUAAUCUAAGAAAGAAAUAAUGUUUUAGAUCUAGUUCUAUUAGUUGACUUUCAGGGUUUAAUACUGAAGUUUGAGUGUUUGUAAUUUAUUGACAUGUUCGCUAGCAUUUUGAACAUGUGUGUUACAAAAAGUCAAUGGGGCAUUCCGAGAAUCGAACUCGGGACCUCUCGCACCCAAAGCGAGAAUCAUACCACUAGACCAAAUGCCCGGUUAUUGUUGUUUUUAGUUUAAACAUUCUCUUUGUUUCCUUGCUCUUUUCUUGAACGAUUUGUUCUUGGUUUAUAGUUCUUCUUUCUUGACAUUGCAAUGGAAUUGUUCACGUGCAUAUCUUUAAGAUGAAUUCAGGCAGAAAGUUCCAGCUUUGUAUCCUAUUCUUUCAGGUUUCUUGUAGUGUACAGUGUACACUGAACAAAAUUUACUAGGAUCAGACUAGGCAGCUGUUGCAGCCAGAGGGAAAAAAUUGUAAAACCAGAAUAAAUGCAUGUGGUUUUGUAGAUUCUUAAGAAGGUUUCAGUUCUUGAUUCUUAGAUUCCUGCAAUUUCUUUUUUGUAUUUCAUUGAAAUUUGCAUUUGAUACUUGCCCAAUUUGCAAUUGAUGUUGUUUGCUUUUGGAGAAUCUAGUGGCACAAAGCUAGUAAUUGUAUUGUCUAAUGUUUUCUAGUAGAAUCUGCAGAAGGGAGGUGGUUUCUGGUUGAAGAGUUGGCUUAGUUUGGUUUCAACACUUACUGUCGUAAAUCAUCACAAGAAUUUCAAGAGCUUGAGACGGAGAUCUAAACUCCAGUCAACUACUGGCGUUUUUAAUCUAGUCCUGGUGAAUGAAAUGCAAGAGAAGACAUUAAUGUUCAACUGCUGAAGCUUGUUGUCGUGGCCCCAUCUGACAUGAAAGCAAAGUUGUCUCUUGGAGAAAUCAGCCAGAAUUGUGUAAACGGCUCCAAUCAAACCAAAACCCAAGUCUCAAAGGUCAGUGGAUUUGAUAUAUAGCUUUGGUGGCUUGGAGUUAUGAUACUGGUUGACAAAAAAAUGUUAUAUGUGUUGGUUUCAGAUGAUUUGCUGUUUUAGUUAAAAGCGUUGGAGCUAGUUUUGGAAUUAUAUUGCAUCGUAUUUAGAUACCUUGUUCUUA